GAUGCUGCUUCUUCAAUGCAAGGAAAGGAAAUAACCCCAGCGAGGUACUCUUCAGGGAUACAGGUCUAGUACAAGAAAACUCUUGACGGCUACUAAGUUCAGCCAGUCUUAAGAAACUGUGCUGUUUCUACAAAGCUUUAACUACAGUAGUUUAUAAGGAUGCCAACGAAAGCUGAGGGUGUAGAGCAAAAUAGUUCUAAGCUUCAGUUAAACUUCUUUAGCAUUGAUAUGAACCAUGGACAAGUAUAUUCUGCUGCCACAAAGACUGUAAAGUGCUUCAUUUCAACAGCUGAGGCAAGCCAAGUGAUCAUUAAUAAAGCUUUUCUUGGUUCCUUCAGUGGUGUUGGUAGUAAAAUGGAAGGUGUCUUGCUGCAGGUAACUAAUGAAGAAGUGGUCAACCACAGAGUCUUCAAGAAAUAAGAAAUUCUGUACCAUCUGAAAGUAGUUCUGUUGGUGCCUUCAUUUUAAAAAAGCACUAUUUAAAAUUAAAGGGAAAUGUUUUCUGAUAAAAUAACAAGACUUAUUUAGUAUAGGUUCUUAAUAUAAAAUAAUUACAAAUUCAGUGUUGUUUGUAAAAGUAACAUCAGAUCAGCUAGAGAAAUGUAUCAUGUUUUGAACUAGGUUUUGUGAGUAGAGAGAUUAAAAUUUAUUUUAAAUA
Molecule: long non-coding RNA, 658 nt
Filed under: Sus scrofa (pig)
Lineage: Eukaryota; Metazoa; Chordata; Mammalia; Artiodactyla; Suidae
Description: lncRNA (ENSSSCG00040001487.1)
Source: RNAcentral